UGCUAAUCUGCGAUAAGCGUCGGUAAGGUGAUAUGAACCGUUAUAACCGGCGAUUUCCGAAUGGGGAAACCCAGUGUGUUUCGACACACUAUCAUUAACUGAAUCCAUAGGUUAAUGAGGCGAACCGGGGGAACUGAAACAUCUAAGUACCCCGAGGAAAAGAAAUCAACCGAGAUUCCCCCAGUAGCGGCGAGCGAACGGGGAGCAGCCCAGAGCCUGAAUCAGUGUGUGUGUUAGUGGAAGCGUCUGGAAAGGCGUGCGAUACAGGGUGACAGCCCCGUACACAAAAAUGCACAUGCUGUGAGCUCGAUGAGUAGGGCGGGACACGUGGUAUCCUGUCUGAAUAUGGGGGGACCAUCCUCCAAGGCUAAAUACUCCUGACUGACCGAUAGUGAACCAGUACCGUGAGGGAAAGGCGAAAAGAACCCCGGCGAGGGGAGUGAAAAAGAACCUGAAACCGUGUACGUACAAGCAGUGGGAGCACGCUUAGGCGUGUGACUGCGUACCUUUUGUAUAAUGGGUCAGCGACUUAUAUUCUGUAGCAAGGUUAACCGAAUAGGGGAGCCGAAGGGAAACCGAGUCUUAACUGGGCGUUAAGUUGCAGGGUAUAGACCCGAAACCCGGUGAUCUAGCCAUGGGCAGGUUGAAGGUUGGGUAACACUAACUGGAGGACCGAACCGACUAAUGUUGAAAAAUUAGCGGAUGACUUGUGGCUGGGGGUGAAAGGCCAAUCAAACCGGGAGAUAGCUGGUUCUCCCCGAAAGCUAUUUAGGUAGCGCCUCGUGAAUUCAUCUCCGGGGGUAGAGCACUGUUUCGGCAAGGGGGUCAUCCCGACUUACCAACCCGAUGCAAACUGCGAAUACCGGAG
This 868-nucleotide ribosomal RNA is filed under the name Escherichia coli. RNAcentral describes it as "partial 23S ribosomal RNA". It matches the Rfam family "Bacterial large subunit ribosomal RNA", at positions 59 to 968 of the family's 2925-position model. Lineage: Bacteria; Pseudomonadati; Pseudomonadota; Gammaproteobacteria; Enterobacterales; Enterobacteriaceae. The record is from RNAcentral.